GGCCAGACUCCUACGGGAGGCAGCAGUGGGGAAUAUUGCACAAUGGGGGGAACCCUGAUGCAGCGACGCCGCGUGGGUGAAGAAGCGCCUCGGCGCGUAAAGCCCUGUCAGCAGGGAAGAAAAUGACGGUACCUGAAGAAGAAGCCCCGGCUAACUACGUGCCAGCAGCCGCGGUAAUACGUAGGGGGCAAGCGUUAUCCGGAUUUACUGGGUGUAAAGGGGGCGCAGACGGCGAUGCAAGCCAGGAGUGAAAGCCCGGGGCCCAACCCCGGGACUGCUCUUGGAACUGCGUGGCUGGAGUGCAGGAGGGGCAGGCGGAAUUCCUGGUGUAGCGGUGAAAUGCGUAGAUAUCAGGAGGAACACCGGUGGCGAAGGCGGCCUGCUGGACUGCAACUGACGUUGAGGCCCGAAAGCGUGGGGAGCAAACAGGAUUAGAUACCCUUGUAC
RNAcentral lists this ribosomal RNA (447 nucleotides) under uncultured bacterium. Its description in RNAcentral is "bacterial SSU rRNA". It matches the Rfam family "Bacterial small subunit ribosomal RNA", at positions 329 to 793 of the family's 1533-position model. The record is from RNAcentral.